This 420-nucleotide ribosomal RNA is filed under the name uncultured bacterium. RNAcentral describes it as "bacterial SSU rRNA". It matches the Rfam family "Bacterial small subunit ribosomal RNA", at positions 355 to 774 of the family's 1533-position model. The record is from RNAcentral.
UAAGGAAUAUUGGUCAAUGGACGCAAGUCUGAACCAGCCAUGCCGCGUGGAGGAUGAAGGUCCUCUGGAUUGUAAACUUCUUUUAUCUGGGACGAAACACUUCUUUUCUAAGAGGCCUGACGGUACCAUUUAUAAGCUCCGGCUAACUACGUGCCAGCAGCCGCGGUAAUACGUAGGGAGCAAGCGUUGUUCGGAUUUACUGGGCGUAAAGGGCGCGUAGGCGGCGCGGUAAGUCACUUGUGAAAUCUCUGAGCUUAACUCAGAACGGCCAAGUGAUACUGCUGUGCUAGAGUGCGGAAGAGGCAACCGGAAUUCUUGGUGUAGCGGUGAAAUGCGUAGAUAUCAAGAGGAACACCUGAGGCGAAGGCGGGUUGCUGGGCCGACACUGACGCUGAUGCGCGAAAGCCAGGGGAGCAAACA